UGAGUAACCUGCCCUUAACUCUGGGAUAACCCCGGGAAACCGGAGCUAAUACCGGAUACUCCGGCUGGAUCGCAUGGUCCGGCCGGGAAAGGUCCGCCGGAGAGGGAUGGGCCCGCGGCCUAUCAGCUUGUUGGUGGGGUCAUGGCUCACCAAGGCGACGACGGGUAGCUGGUCUGAGAGGACGACCAGCCACACUGGAACUGAGAUACAGUCCAGACUCCUACGGGAGGCA
RNAcentral lists this ribosomal RNA (232 nucleotides) under uncultured bacterium. RNAcentral describes it as "partial 16S ribosomal RNA". It matches the Rfam family "Bacterial small subunit ribosomal RNA", at positions 118 to 350 of the family's 1533-position model. The record is from RNAcentral.